Molecule: ribosomal RNA, 458 nt
Filed under: uncultured bacterium
Lineage: Bacteria
Description: bacterial SSU rRNA
Rfam family: Bacterial small subunit ribosomal RNA
Source: RNAcentral
ACUCCUACGGGAGGCAGCAGUGGGGAAUAUUGCACAAUGGGCGCAAGCCUGAUGCAGCCAUGCCGCGUGUGUGAAGAAGGCCUUCGGGUUGUAAAGCACUUUCAGUCGUGAGGAAGGUAGUGUAGUUAAUAGCUGCAUUAUUUGUACGUUAGCGACAGAAGAAGCACCGGCUAACUCCGUGCCAGCAGCCGCGGUAAUACGGAGGGUGCGAGCGUUAAUCGGAAUUACUGGGCGUAAAGCGCAUGCAGGUGGUUUGUUAAGUCAGAUGUGAAAGCCCGGGGCUCAACCUCGGAAUAGCAUUUGAAACUGGCAGACUAGAGUACUGGUAGAGGGGGUAGAAUUUCAGGUGUAGCGGUGAAAGUGCGUAGAGAUCUGAAGGAAUACCGGUGGCGAAGGCGGCCCCUGGACAGAUACUGACACUCAGAUGCGAAAGCGUGGGAGCAAACAGGAUUAGACUA